RNAcentral lists this ribosomal RNA (270 nucleotides) under uncultured bacterium. Its description in RNAcentral is "partial 16S ribosomal RNA". It matches the Rfam family "Bacterial small subunit ribosomal RNA", at positions 30 to 298 of the family's 1533-position model. The record is from RNAcentral.
AUUGAACGCUGGCGGCGUGCCUAACACAUGCAAGUCGAGCGGUAACAGGUGUAGCAAUACAUGCUGACGAGCGGCGAACGGGUGAGUAAUGCUUUGGAAUCUUCCCAGUAGUGGGGAAUAACCAGUCGAAAGAUUGGCUAAUACCGCAUACGUCUGUAAAGGGAAAGCGGGGGCUCGUAAGACCUCGCGCUAUUGGAUGAGCCAAAGUCGGAUUAGCUAGUUGGUGGGGUAAUGGCCUACCAAGGCGACAAUCCGUAGCUGGUCUGAGAG